This 2002-nucleotide long non-coding RNA is filed under the name Daphnia magna. RNAcentral's name for it is "uncharacterized LOC123475554". Lineage: Eukaryota; Metazoa; Arthropoda; Branchiopoda; Diplostraca; Daphniidae. The record is from RNAcentral.
CAAUUGUUAUCCCUUUUUAAACAAAGGACGUGCACGUAUUGUUUGAGCGUAAACUGUCAAGGUUUAAACGAAUAGAACGCAAUUUCAACGUCUUCCGACUGGCACUUUCUGGUUUCCAAGAGUGGACGGGUAAGAUGAAAACAGCCCGUCUUAAACGUUGCACUCUUGUCGAUGUGUCGUUCUAAAUUUAGAAUCUUCUCAAAGGCUGGUUCCACAAUAGCUAAAAUUAGACUUUUCUGUUGGGCUUUCGGUCGAAAACUUCCCUUCUUGGGGGCGGCAAAUUGCUCGGCUAUGAACAAACACGAGGGUAUAGCCGGGUUCUCCGCGUGUUUUUUUCUCUAUUUUCUUUUUCCAACAUCGUCUGCUAAACGUCUUUCGGAAAUGCAACAGCUGUUUCUGACGUCAGUAGUUUCCCAAUCAGGAAAAACGUUAGGUUAGUUGAAAAGGGAUAGGCAGUCAUUCCUCAUAGCGCGUUGCAUUAAGAAGAAAAAGUACGGGUUUAAUGGGCUGUUGUGGCGCGUUCAAGCGCAUGUCAUGACAGAUGAUACAAUGAAUCACAAACAAGUUGACCACUUUAUAUUCCACGACAACCAAAGAAGACGCGUUCGUCGACAGCUCGAGUUGGAACAAGUGUGUUAUCCAGGUCGAAGAAGAUGGCAUCAAUCCUUUGUAGGUUGUCGUGAUUGCCAGCUUGAUAGAAAGGCGUUGCUGGUGAAGCGGUUGUCUCCAUAGUACUUUUCACGGACGCUCGCGAAUCACAGUCUGAGAUAGUCUAUAGUCAAGCUGCCAAUACUUAUGAACAACUCUCCCUGCCCAACUUCGUCGCCUGCACGUCGGGAUCCCAAUGACGUCACGUGUUACGUGAUAGGCCAAACAAAACAAGCCUUUUUUUAUAAUUGGUCAACAGGAAAGUGAAAUUGUAAAGCAAACGUAGCAAUGAGAAAAAAAAAUGGGAUAAACACGAAGUUGAAUCGUUAAAUAUGACCCAAAUUUUGAAGGUUAGGACAGCAAAUUUCUAACGAGAAAGCACUAACAAUGUUCAUUGCUCGGAGUUCUCUCGGUUUGCUAAGCGUAUAGCAACUUCACUUCCGAAUAACUGCAAACAUAUUUCGAAAAAAGACGCCUGAAAAAAAAGGGGCGUAUUCGAUAAGUAAGAAAACAAUUGAACUUAUUUCUACCCUCUCUCGCUGGACCUUUGCAGACUUUCACUUGAUCUUCCACAGGGACAGCUUAUAGCCCUAAUCCUUGACAUUAUCUUCUCAAUUAUCCAAAUGCUAACUAACUCAGACCCCCGCUGACCCCGACUUGAAUGGUUAAAAUAACUAAGAUUAGGAAUCUCUGAUUUUCUAGCUAGCUAACUCAUCAGUCCCAUCCCAAGGCCAGCCGUUCUACAAAUAGAAACGGCCCAACGCAACGAAGGAUGCGUAAACAAGAACUGGGGCAUCCAAUAGAGUUGAAUGAUUCCGCUUAAUCAUUUGGUUAUUGUGGGUUAUCACUGGGCGUCACUUAUCGAGCUUGCAGACCAAAUCAUUAAACUGCGUCAGAGCCAACGUGAUUGUAACAACAACAACAAGUUAACCAACGAUCAACAAGUGAUGACGUUGGCGGAACUUCAAACCCGGAUAUAGUCUGGUUAAAUGUUGGGUCGGCGUACUACCGCUUCAUCACGUCCACAUUUAAACAAAAGCCUAGGCUAAGCUUACAGUUAAAUUAUCUAUGCCGUUUAAGAUAAUUCACCGUGUUGCGUUCUGUUACGUUUGUGUGCUCUUUUUUUUGUUUUUUUGUUGUUGCUACGUAACAGAAAUCUGUUGCGAAGAUUUCUUUCUUUUCAAAUUUAAUCUUUCUAAUUAAGUUUUAGAUCUACGUUAUUCUUUUUGCCUUUUUAAAAAUGUGUAGCUAAAUUUUUUGUCACGUAACCGGGCCGUCAACAGCGUGAUAUGCAAAUGAUUGUGCCGUUAACGGGCAAACUAAGGGUCGGCUAAGAUAAAAAAGAUUAAAAACA